CAAUGUACUACGUAAAAUUCGUAAAAAAAAACUAACAAAUAUAUUUCGGAGGGGAGAGGUCAUUAACCCCCAAACCCUCCCUUCCUCCCAAGUUUUUGAAAUUUUAGAUUCCGAGAGUAGGCCCGCGAACCGUGUAACGUCCGUCAGAGGACUCGGCGGAACCCGAAACAAACUCGAUUAACGAUCAUUCUGCGUUACGUCAAAUUCCCCUUUAUGUCCUAUCUUCUCAAACUUCUCAUCGACAACAGUGGCCAACCAUCUUGUGAAGUAUUUCCGUUUUUCGG
Molecule: non-coding RNA, 284 nt
Organism: Cinara cedri
Lineage: Eukaryota; Metazoa; Arthropoda; Insecta; Hemiptera; Aphididae
Source: the annotation of a GenBank genome assembly